AUGAUUCAGCUCUUUCUGCAAGUGCCGACAGACGACGGCAAUGUUGAUACAGAUGCUGUGAGGGCGAGGAGAUCACUUCUGGAUAAGGCUGAGUCGGUGAUCAAGUCGGUUGUAAGGUCUGGAGGCCGGUAUGAGGCUCGGAUGUGGCUGUGCAGUACCAUCUCGUCGAUUCAUCUGCUCGAUCCGCGUGACCAGCGGGACCUGUUCCUCGAUCUCCUGGAGAUGAAGGACUCAAGGCGGGACGUCGCCGCCCGCCUGCUGCGGAUGAUUUUCGACAAGAAGCCUGUGAAGGCUGGCUCUGUUUUAGCGAAGAAGUGUCAUAUGCUGGAGAAGUUCUUCCAAGGAAACCCUGAGCGGAUACUGCAAUGGUUUUGCCACUUUGCUGCUACUGGGGAGUCAGCACACAAAAAGGGUGCUCGGGCACUUGCUCAGUUUGCAUUUGUGAAUCGUGAUGUUUGCUGGGAGGAGCUUGAGUGGAAAGGCAGGCAUGGUCAGUCUCCUGCUGUUGUUGCUACUAAGCCUCAUUACUUUCGUGAUCUUGAUGUUCUCCAGACAGUGGAAAAUUUCCUUGAAUAUGUCCCAGACUUCUGGUCUUCAGAAGAGCUUGCUGAUUCUGUCAAAGAUGGUGAAAUACUGCAAAUUGAUACAGAAUAUUUUGUAGAUCAAUUUGUCUAUUUGAUGUAUGAGGGGAAUUUCAAAGAUGUGUGGCAAGUAGUUGAAGAUUUUCUGAUGGAGGAGCAGUUUUCCACUCUGUCUCAGUAUAUUCUUAUUCAUCUAGACGAACAAAGGCUUCUUCAUUUCUUAAAAACAUUAGGGAAGCUCAUCAGUCCGAAUGCACAAUGCACAAAGUUAGCAUUCCCAUGCUGCUGGCUUGAGGUUCUUUUGUCGGCACAUAUUGAUCAGAUAUCUCUUGACGAACUUAUCCUAUUGAACUGUGUCAUUGCCAAGGGUAGACAACUUUGGCACCUCAUGAACGACGAAGAACACGAGGAAGAACGAAGGAGGAUGGACGAGCUUGUGAGGACCAUGAAUGACUUGACUGAUGCUGAUCAUUUUGCUCUCAUAAAGGAUUUCAUGGGUACAAAGUUUCCUGAUGCACUUAAGUGGAUAGGCAUCCAGUCCUGGGUAAUUUUCUGUGGUUUGUCAAAAUUAUGCAAAUCAGCUGAUUCUUGUGAGUCUCUGUUCACUGGUAACAGCAUAGAAUUUCGCAAGGCUUAUGAUUACUCAUUGGUUCAAAACGACGGGUGCUCAGUUUCACAUACUUCAGAUACUGAUGACAAGGAUCUGACUAGAAGUAGUCAUAAAAAAAGAAAAAGAGAUAAGAAGAGAAGACGGCAUAGAUAUGAUUCCGACGAGGAUAAUGUUGAUCAGCUGCUUGAACUGGGAACUUUCACUGGGAAGAGGGCUAUUGAAUCACAAUGUGGAAGCUGGUACCUGUCAACUGAUGACUUCUCUGCUCCUUGGGACAUUGCUGACAUACCGGAUCACCUUUCUACUUGUUAUCUUAGAGUAUGGCUGAAAUGGGCUUGCUUUAGAUGA
This 1539-nucleotide ribosomal RNA is filed under the name Triticum aestivum (bread wheat). Its description in RNAcentral is "partial small subunit ribosomal RNA". Lineage: Eukaryota; Viridiplantae; Streptophyta; Magnoliopsida; Poales; Poaceae. The record is from RNAcentral.